AUUAACAGGUCUCCAACUUAUUGGUAAUUGACUAAGGCCCAAGAAGAAAGAAUACAAUCAAAUGAAAAUUUUAAUAAAAACAAUAUAAUCUGAGAAAAUUAGAAAAUAACCCAAAAUCUCAUACCUGACUAGCUUGAGACACUUGCAAUACAUCUUGGAGAUGACCCCGUGCACUCUGCACAUGCCCCACUGCUCUUCCUGCUAGCCUCCCUGCUGCUCUAGCAAUUAUAGGUAGGUCCUUGGGCCCUAUAAAAAUAACCCAACAAUUUAUUUAGAAUAAAAAAAACUGAUAUUGUACCUGUUGGAAAAAUAUGGAAGAUCUUCUGAUGAAUCAUUAUAGAAAAUGCAAUUUUACAGGAUGGAUAAAUAAUUGAACACAUGAACAUUAACAAGUACUAUUCAAAUAUAACACAUUAUUUUACCUUGGGUGAGGUUUGUAUAAGGUGUCAACCUUAAACAUUCAAAGUAAGGCACACCUCUAAAUCUUGCUAAAAAGGGCAGCUUUCGUGCCAAAAAUACUAUCGAUGACUUAAAAAUCUACCCCUAAUUAUGAAAUCCAAAGCUCCAAAAAAUUGGUGUAUAUCAAGCAGUUCUAUAAACAUUCAAAACUUUAAAAAAUGGACCGCCUAGAUAAUGUGUUACAAGACACAUUACUUUUAGGACUUGAAAUCCUUUUUUUCUCAUAUCUAUACAUCUCCGGGUCGAAAUGAUUAAAUGCAGUGUCUCUGUCUUUCGCAUCGCGCAGAAAUACUGGUUACAGGGAUGCCAUAAAAACAUAAUCACCCAUCAAAACUCAAACCUCAAAUUCGUCUGAAUAACUACAACUUUAAAUGUGCAGUGUAAAAUUGCAUAUAUUGCCAAAAAAAACAAGACAUGUAAAAUAAUCUAAAGAUAAAAUGAUAAGUGCCGUGUACAACCUAAAAUUCAAAAACAUUUCAAUGGCUAUACCCUAAUAAAUAAAUGAAUAUCGAAGCUUUAGGGUUUUGUAAGCCAUAAAUUCUGGAAAAAAUUUGAUGAACCCCAAUUGAAGAAGCUUACCAAUCAAAGCAGCGGUUGCUCCCAAUAUGAGAAAAAUCUCACCAUAUGAGAGACCCAGCAUCUCUCUGUAAGUUAGGGCAAAAGAAAACCUAUGAGAAGAAAACCAUUAAUGAAAAAUUCAGUACCGAUAGGAAAUGCGAGGAAGAAACGAGAGACAUAUGAGCAAAGAACUUCUCUUUUAAGGAAGGAAAGAUAAACUAGUUGUGUAUGAUAAAUGGUACACUAGCAAGAAAGACACCGUUAAUAUACGAUGCUGAACGGUGGAGAUUUACAGGAACCGUGUGAAUUCCUAUCAUUGGGAAUACUGUUACUCUCUGCUGUCUAUAUAACUUUGGGGCGUCUAGGAACUAGAAGUUGGAAAUGAUACCUGCAAUUCCUACUUCUGAGAUCCGGAUUUAAAUACUACGUUUGGUUACCUGUCGAAAAUUUCUACAACAGUGAUGUUUCAACAUGGAAGCUUGCAAAUUUGGAGCCCAGAAUUUUGCAAAAAUUUGGAGCCCAAUGCUUCCCCUAUGGUGUAAUCCCUCAGCCAAUCCAUUUUGAAUGGAAGGCUAAGAUUGCCCCAAUCUCAAUGUCUCGUCUUUAUACUAUUUUAUUUUUAAAUUUGUUUCUAUAAACUAUUUUGACACUUAAUUUUGGACGUCCAAUCCUCUAUUAAACUUGUACGAGCGAAAAAUAUUAAAAAAUAUUUUUAAUAAAAUAAAAUGAUCAAAACCCUUUGAAAGUUUCAAAGGGUAUUUUGGUCAUGAUAUUUUAUUGAAAAUUUAGUUUUAAUAUUUUUAAUAGGUGCGGCCCAAUGAGAUGAUGGCAUGAACCAAAUUUCAUAAUCAUACAAUUUGUAUAAAAAAGACAAAAAAUAAAAUGCUUUGAGACGUCGGAUCUAAGAUCAAACAUUGAGUGACUCUCUUGAUCAAAAUUGGACGGCUGGAUGGUAGGGGAAGCAUAGAUCUUCUAUAUUGUAGGAUAAGUAUAGAAACAUUUUCCCUAAACGAUGUGGUUUAGGUAAGGCUAAUGCCCUAAACAAUCAAAAUAAAGCGCACCCUCAAACAGUGUCGAAAGAUGUUGGUUCAGUACUUAAAAUCUUGGUGAUGUCCCUAAAAUGUUGACCGUCUAGAAAAUAAAUUACAAGAUGCAUUAUUUCUAAGACUUGAAAUCCAUUUUUUCUCAUAUCCAGACAUCUUAAGGUCGGGAUGAUCGAUUUAAUGAUUUUUGGGUAUCGAAAUGACGUCUUCUAAUGAAUUUUUGAUGUGCGUCUUAAUUUGAUUGUUUAAAACAUCACCCUCAUAUAAACUCUUUCCCUACAUAAAAUCAACCAUUUUAUUCGUAAAUUUCUUUAAAACCAACAAUUUUUCUCUACAAAAUUGUCUCAAGUUAUAACUAAAAUUGCACUUAGCUCAUAAAAAAUCCAAUCCAAAUUGAGAGUUGAAACAUCAAAACAUACCCAAUUAACUUAAAAAACAGAGAAAUUCACAAAAUCAAAACAUACCCAAAUAACUUAAAAAACAAAGAAAUUCACAAAAUAAAAUGGAAGAAACGUAAACAGAAGCAAAUAACAAGAAACUAAACUAAAUAAAUAUUUAUAAUAUUUUUUCCUUUAAAAUAAUGGACACUAUGCCCUUAAGGAAGUAUAGUUUACUUCUACUCCCUCGGUCAGAAUAUUUAUUUGGGAGGAUUUUUUUUCCAACUUGAAAUUUUGCUAAUCACCUAAUAAUCACUUGAUAAUUAUUAUCAUAAGAAAAAUUUGAAAUCAGAGUCUUCUUACACUUAAAUCUCAACAUAAAAAAUUUGAAUGAUCUUUAAUGAACUGAGUCAUUAUUUUUUUCAAGUGCAUAGAUGGUAUAAUUAAGGAUUUUUUUUCGGAAAAAUUAUAUAUACAUCCAUUAUUUUAAACGCUAUUACAACUAAAACUUUCACUUAUUACAUUCGAAAUUUUGGAUAUUACAUGUAUACCCGUUCUUAGGAGCCCCAAUUAUUUUUUUUUCCAAUAUUUCCCUAUUUUUCGAUCUUCAGGAUCUAAAAUAAAAAAAUUCAGAACUUAAAGGUCUGAAAUUCCUUUAUUUCAAAUCUUUAAGAAUAAAAAAAAAAAAAAAAAUCGGAAUAUCAAAAUCCGGAAUUUCUCUAUUUUUCAAUCUUUAGUAUCUAAAAUAAAAAACAUUUCGGACUCCGAAAUUGUUGAUUUUUAUUUUAUAAUUUUUGAAUUUUGAAAAUUAAAAAAUUUUAUAUUUUGAAAAUUAAAAAAUUUUAUAUUUUGAAAAUCUGAAAAAUUCAAUCAUACUUAGUUCAUGCAAAAAUAAAUUGUGAAUUUUGAAACUCCAAAAAUAACAAUUUAGUAUUUUUUAAGUUAUUGGCAAAAUUUUAUAAUAACAUAUAUAAAAUGGGUAGAGUAGUAAUAAUAAGAAUAUUUAGGUGAAAUUAAAAUAACUCCAUUGAAAGCUUAUAGCACAAGCCAGAAAUAUAGUUUCUUGGUUUAUUUAAAAAGAGACAUAACAUUUUCCGUUAUUACUAACCUACCCAUUUUAUAUCCGUUAUUACUAUAUUUUCUCAACAUUUAAAAAAUAUCAAAUUAUGAGUGAGAUCAAUUGAUAUUAUCACACCUAACUUCAGGAGGCACUUUUUUGCAUAUGAAGCCAGGCCUUUCACCGCACUUGGGCUUAGUUGAACACCAUGUGUUCGAAGUUUUGCCAAGUUUAUCAAGAAGACCUAUACCCAUCCCUAGCUCGUUUAGAAGUCAUUACCAGGGUUUUUUUGGCUGGGGACCAUAUGGUCAUUCCACGACUUAUUAAAUGUGUUACAAAACAAACGCUGUUAUUUAUUUUUCUUAUUAAAACACGUUAAUCCAAUGUUAUUUAAAAAUGCAAAGAAAUUCCUUUAUUAUGGUCUGGGAUUUGACCAAAAUAAAUCUCCUUUGCACCUUUUUAGAAUCUCUCCAAUUUUGUUUUUUGUUUAAAUGUGUAACAACAAAAUAACAUUUAUAAUGGGAAAUACCAAAAUUUUGGCUAGGAUUCAACCGAUAACGAUAAAUAAAUGAACAAAAAAUAACACUAGAACUUAAAAGGUAGAAGUUGCAUAACAAAUCUUUGCACCCACCAUCCAACUGUGAAUUAUUUUCAUACAAGCAAAGAACGAAAAGAAAAAAAAGAAAUGUUAUAGAUGGAGAUGUCUGAUAUUAAAAACAUUGGACUGCUCCAUACGUACAGAUCUUUAGAAUACCGAACUGCCCCAAUCUUAGGGCAAUUCGAUGUUCUAAUAUUGAAUUAUCCCAUAAAUGGGGCAACCCGAUACCUAGGGCAUCAUACUGCCCUAGAAUUCAUGAAAUUGAAUAAAUUAGAAGAAAAAAACCACAAAAAGAAUGACUUUCGCAUAAAAUCGGGGCAACCAUGAACCACAUGGUAAUUCUGCAAUUAUUUUCACACCGAGAGUAAAUUUUCUAUUUUUAAAAAAUUAGGUGAGCUCUCUCGUGAUACGUAUCGCGACCUCUAGUAUAAUAUUAUAAUUAGUAAGAUUGUGUCGUUGAAUUAUCAAAGCCCUUCCCAUCAUAAACCGAGUUUUCACAUUGAAGGUGGCCCAAGUUCAUGAAUCCUAGCAGUUCAAGGGGCUCGAUGGUGGAAAGAAUGAGAACUUAUUAGGGCUCGUGUUGUUCUUCUUUCGUUUUCCAUUGGUAAAUAUGAUUUAAGGGGUCAAAUCCCCUUGCAAAGUCAUUAAGCAAUAAAAACCCCAAUUAAUCAAUUUAUUUUUUUAAGUUUUAUUUGGAGAAUUAUCCUCGUACCUCUUAUUUUUGUUUUUAUAUCUCAAUAGAUCAAAAUAUAUCUCCUAACCCCUUGACUAAUUUUAUCCACUUUUAAUUAUUUUUUUAGCCUUAACAAAUAUAAAAAAGGCAUGUUCAUUUUAAACCCACAUUCUCUUUUCGUGAUAUAUUCCCUCGUAAAUUUCUCUCUCUAACAUUCACCUUUUUUUUCCCUCUAAUGGAGGAGAAAGAGAGUGAGAGAUACGAGAAGAGAGAGUUGAAAAAUAGGUAGAGAGAAUAAGAUUUAGGGAAAAUAUUGUGGAGAGAGAAAUGAUGGUGUUUAGAAAAGAUAUGUCUUUCUUAUAUUUGUUUGGAACAAAAAAAUAAGUUCAAAGGGGAUAAAGUUUGCUUGGGAAGUUAAAAGAUAUAAAACUUAGAAUUUUUAUGACCUAAUAUAUAUUUUGAAACAUCCAGUCUAUUGAGAUAUAAAACUAAAAAAUGAGACGUAUGGAGAUAUUUUUCUUUUUUAUUUCAUUCAACUUCCUCAUCAAGAAAAAUCUUUAAGAUUACCCAAAUUACUCAUAUUUGGGAUUACAACCGUAAAUAAACAAAUAUUGACAUUUCACUAAUUUCAUUCACAUGAAGAAGUUGGGCUAUUCUAGUUAUUUGGUUGGGCCUUCUCAGGCAGGUCAAAUUACUAAAAUGCUCAUGUCUAUGCAUGAUUAUUAACUUUGAAUAGGAAAGGUGCUAGGUCGUGGUGGUAGUAUCCUCACACCUAGUUACUAUAUUGUGGUAUCCAUUCCUACUGCUGACACCAUCAAUUGACACCUUCAAAAUGUAACUAGCCUAACUUCAAAACGGGUAAGGGCAUACCUUUCCCACUAAAUUACCUAAAAAAAAUAAAAAAAAACUUUGAAUAGAGACAAUUUAGGCUCUUUAUGAUAAUUGGGGAAAUUUUAGUAUUAUAAUAGUAUUUUUUAGGAGGUACCCAAAUAAAUAAAUAAAGGCCUCUUAUGUUGAUUAUAGUUUAGUUGAUUCCUUAUGAGCUUUAAUUGGCUUAACCCCAUGUUAUUUUCUUUUCAAAAUUGAUUUUAAGUUUCCCCAUUAUAACUUUAUAAAUAAACAUACCACAUAUGUUCGUCCUAUUUUUUGUAAGAAAACAUUUAACCUGUUAGUUUUCAUUAUUUUUAGAUAGAACACAUACUUGCAUCCAUCUAGAUGCUUUGCACUUUUUGCGAUAUCAUGCGGUCUAGUCCUCAUGAAACAAUUUUCCCAUUUAGAUCAUGUCUAUAAAAUUCACAAGCCCUCUCUCAGUCACACAAACCCUAGCUCGUCUAAUAACAAAAAAUAGGAUACCAAAAGGAAUCCAAAGCACAACAAUAUAAUAUGGCCCAAUAUGCUUCUUGUGAGUGGCCCUGGGAGAGAAUGAGGUAAUGUUAAAUACGAGUUUAGUGACGAGUCACUAUAGUUAGCAAAUUUCCAUUUAAAAUACUACGGAGUGCUUCGAAAUUUUUGCGUGAGCUGAAGUGCUUCAAUUUUUUUUGGAUUUUUAAAAUCUGAUAUUUUUUAAUUUUUAAAAUUUUAAAAAUUUAAAAAUUAUAAAAUAAAAAAUCUACAAUAGAGUCCAAAAUGUUUCUUAUUUCGGACACUAAAGAUCUAAAAAUAGGGAAAAUUCGAACUUUGAUAGACUGGAUUUUUUUUUUUUUUUUAAUCCUAAUGAUAUGAAAAUAGGAAAAUUUUGGACCUUUAACUUCUAAAUUUUUAUUUUUUUUAUUUCGGAUCCUCAAUAUCCAAAAAUAAAGAAAUAUAGGAAAAAAAAAUUAGGGGCUCCUAAGAACAGGUGUACAUGUAAUAUCCAAAAUAUCAAAUGUAAUAAAUGAAAAUUUUAGGUAAAAUUCUAAUUUAUUACUGUUAUUACAACAUUUUGCCAAUAAUUUAAAGAAUGAUCAAAUUAUCCUUUUUUGGAUUUUCAAAAUCCGAAAUUUAUUUUUGCGUGAACUAAGAAUGAUUGAAUUUUUCGAAUUUUAAAAAUUUUAAAAAUUCAAAAAUUAUAAAAUAAAAAAUUUAUAAUUUCGGAGUCCGAAAUAUUUUUUAUUUCGGAUACUAAAGUACUGUGAAAGUAGGGAAAUUUUGGACUUUGAUAGUCAGGAAUUUUUUUUUGGGAUCCUAAAGAUUCAAAACUAGGUAAAUUUCGGAUCUUAAAGUUCCAAAUUCUUUUUUUAUUUCGGAUCAUAAUUAUACAAAAACAGGACAAUAUUGGAAAAAAAUUCGGGGCUCCUAACAACGGAUAUAUAUGUAAUAUCCAAAAUUUUAAAUAUAAUAAGUAAAACUUUUAAGUAAAAUUGUAUUAACUCUUACAUGACGGAUAUAUGUGUAAUUUUUCCAAUAUUUUUUGGCUCCCAUUAAACCAAUCGCAUAUCCUUAUGACGUCAUACACGGUUUUAAGAUAUCCCUUUUUCUUGUAGACCAAAUAUUAUUUGCUUAUUUGAAAUAAAUAUUGAAGGGCUGAGAUUUUCUUAUGCAACACUAGUGGCAUGAUGGUAAACACUGGUCGUGUAGGAACUCUUAUUUUUACUCGAGUUAGUUUGAAACCUAUUUAAUGCAUACAAGAACAUAUUUCCAUUCCUGGUUUGUGCCACUGAUCAAUACUUUGUUCUUGUAGCGAGAUAAGAACAAAAAAUAGAGAGGUGAACCAUUUCCGAAGGUAUGUACUGAUUUCUAUAUUAUUUUGUACAUGAAUUUCAUCUUUUCAAAAGAUUUACUGGUUAGUAAUUACAAUUAAAUGCCAUGUUAACCACCCGAAGAUUUUAGUAAUCUGCUCAAACAUUUUUGAUAAAUUAAGAUAAUGCGUGAACUCGAUGAUUGAAUUUGUUGAAUUUUCAAAAUUUGAAAUUUUUAAUUUUUAAAAUUUUAUAAUCCAAAAAUAAUAAAAUAUAAAAUAUACAAUUUCAGAAUACGAAAUGUUUUAUAUUCCAGACAUUGAUUGUAUGGAUUUUUUUUUUUUUGGGAAUCCUAAAGAUCUAGAAAUAGGGAAAUUUUGGACCUUGAAGUUCUGAAUUCUUUCUUUAUUUCGGAUCCUUAAUAUCCAAAAAUAAGACAAUAUUGGAAAAAAAAAUUGGGACUCCUAAGAACGGAUAUGCAUAUAAUGUCCAAAAAUUUAAAUGUAAUAUGUGAAAAUUUUAAGUAAAAUUGUAACAACUCUUUAAUGACGGAUAGGUGUGUAAUUUAUCCAAUAUCUUUUGGCUCCAUUUAAACCAAAUACCAUAUCCCUAUUACGUCAUACUCUUUUUAAGAUAUCUCUUUUUAAGAUAUCCAUUUGUGAUUGUAAUCUUCCUUUUCUUGUAAAUCAAAAUUUAUUUGCUUAUCUUAAAUGAAUAAUGAAGGGCUGAGAUUUUCUCAGGAGACACUAGUGGCAUGAACCAUUUCCGAAGGUAUGUUCUGAUUUAUGUAUUAUUUUUGUACAUGAGUUUCAUCUUUUCAAAAGAUUAACUGGUUACUAAUUACAUUCAAUACUUUGUUAACCACCCAAAUAUUUUCAACUUCACUUUAAUAAUCUUUUCGGAUAUUUUUGAUAAAUUAAGAUGAUCGAUUUUCAACACUCAGAUCAUUACAUGGCAAGAUGUUUUUUAAGAAAUAAUUAAAUGAAUAUUUUAAAAACUGAGAUCAUUAAAAAAAGUUACAAACAAUUCUUCGAAUUUUGGGAUGAAAGCAACAUAGGGAGGCUCUUGAUAACCACAUAAAUCAAAUAAAACGAUUUCAAAUAUCUAUCGACACCGAAAAUAAAGAAGAAGAACAAAAGAAAAAACACAAGCCAUGUACGAUUCUUUUUUUCCUUCUUGUUUUUUACAUAAAAAAUUGAUUCGUUAGUAGGAACUCUGUUUUGUUUGUCUAUAUAUUUCACAAAAGGCGUACCAGAUGAAUCUAAUACAAAAGAGAGGCAUGCGUUAAUCCUAGCUCAUCAAGAAAGUAAACUCAAUAUUCAAAGAAUUAUGUAUUUCUAGGAAGAAUUAAUUUCUCAGAAUUACCCCUCUAAGAAUUUGAUUAAAAAGACAAUAGGAAUAUUGCAGAGACCGUCUUAUUUCCUACGAAAUCUAAAGCUCAUGGAUGACAUUGUUAAUAAAGAGAGACAUUAUCGGUCUUAGGGCAACCAUGUCUGAAACAGUCGGACAUGAACGUAGAUGUAAAAUAUUGAGUAAAGCUUUCAAAUUGCAAUAAAUAUGAGGGAUAUUUAUGCAGAUACCAAAAUUGAAUUUCCCUCUUUCCAUCUCCUUUGUUCAGAACUUCAGCUUCACUUGCAGGUCCACCAACUUCUUGCUACUAUGGACUAUUUCCGCACCAACAGCUUGAAUGGCUUCUGCAUGGGUAAACUGGAAAGCGAACGAGUAAGGUUGCAUUCCCCGAUUGUUGACCCUGAAGGCCCGAUAAAAGGAAGCAUAAUCUUCGAAAAUGGCCUGUCUCAGCGCAUAACGUUCACUAGUUUACUCCCUACUCAGCAAGAUAACAAGCGUAUCACCAUCAUAACCUCUACCCAAUGGCUAAACACCAGACCAAUCACUUAUCAUUUUUUGAAGGAUAGGUUCCAUCGUAUGGAUGUGGCCUACCAAAUCAUCAAUCAUGUAAUAGAUUAUCUCACUAAUAAAUUCUGGGAGAAAUUAGAGGUCAUUAAUAGAGAGCCCAUGGCACCCCAAGAACCACUUGUGGUAAAAUUGUGGAUGGAGAUUGUGAGAGAGGUAGAAGAUAUAGUUGAAGACGAAGCACCAUCUUUUGUUUCUAGGUAUGCAGUGGAGUCCUUCGAGAGGGUAGAUAUUGAAGAGGAUGAAGAGGUUAUCUCCAUCAUUUGCAUAUGUGAGAUGGAUUCCAGAACAGUUGAUGCAAGGACGAUGCCUUGUUCGCACAGAUGUCAUGGGGAGUGCAUUCUCACUUGACUAGAGAAUGGAAGUAGCUGUUCGGUGUGCCGUUACCAGUUGCCCAUUGCCAACUGAAUAAUUGUUAUAAAAGUUUUCUUCUUUGGUUUUUUUGUGUCUUGAAUUAUUGUUAUAAAAGUUGUCUUCUUUGGUUUUUUUGUGUCUUGAUGUAAGAGAGAACCUAUGACCUUAGAACUGUUUUUCCCAUAUUCUAUUUUAUAGAUGUAAGAGAAAUACUUGCUGGAAUUGGCCAUUCUUAGUAAUCUCCUCAAUGAACGAUCCUUGUUCGAAGUGAUUAAUUACCUGAUAUUAAUCUCUUCCAUAUAUGGUGAUUGCUAUUUUCCAAAUUCUUGUUUUAAUCCAUUUCGAUCAUAACUGGAAUCAUGCUCUGGUUUCCUUGUCUGGGGUUUGUAAUCCAAAUUCUUGUGUUGAAUUCCAAGAUAUCAUGUGGGGAAUCAUGCUCUGGUUUCCUGGUCAGGGGUAUGUAAUCCUAUUUUCAAGUAACUGAAUAUGCAGCAAAUUAAUUCCAAUUGCCAAACAACAAAAAUCCAUCAUAUGAUACUUUGCCAUUUUGAUAUAAUGUACCAUGAACAGGUCUCCAAAUUAUUGGUAAUUGACUAAGGCCCAAGAAGAAAGAAUACAAUCAAAUGAAAAUUUUAAUAAAAACAACUUAAUCUGAGAAAAUUAGAAAAUAACCCAAAAUCUCAUACCUGACGAGCUUGAGACAUUUGCAAUACAUCUUGGAGAUGACCACGUGCAGUCUGCACAUGCCCCACUGCUCUUCCUGCUAGCCUCCCUGCUGCUCUGGCAAUUAUAGGUAGGUCCUUG
RNAcentral lists this long non-coding RNA (10494 nucleotides) under Amborella trichopoda. RNAcentral's name for it is "long non-coding RNA (ATRI_LNC001890)". Lineage: Eukaryota; Viridiplantae; Streptophyta; Magnoliopsida; Amborellales; Amborellaceae. The record is from RNAcentral.